UACAGAGGUGGCAAGCGUUGUUCGGAAUUACUGGGCGUAAAGGGCGCGUAGGCGGUCCUACAAGUCCCGCGUGAAAGCCCCCGGCUCAACUGGGGAACUGCGCGGGAAACUGUAGGGCUUGAGUUCGGGAGAGGGAAGCGGAAUUCCGGGUGUAGCGGUGAAAUGCGUAGAUAUCCGGAGGAACACCGGUGGCGAAGGCGGCUUCCUGGACCGACACUGACGCUGAGGCGCGAAAGCUAGGGGAGCAAACGGG
This 253-nucleotide ribosomal RNA is filed under the name uncultured bacterium. RNAcentral describes it as "partial 16S ribosomal RNA". It matches the Rfam family "Bacterial small subunit ribosomal RNA", at positions 524 to 776 of the family's 1533-position model. RNAcentral also lists the same sequence under 1 other name. The record is from RNAcentral.